Molecule: ribosomal RNA, 617 nt
Filed under: Pseudomonas sp. TAD063
Lineage: Bacteria; Pseudomonadati; Pseudomonadota; Gammaproteobacteria; Pseudomonadales; Pseudomonadaceae
Description: bacterial SSU rRNA
Rfam family: Bacterial small subunit ribosomal RNA
Source: RNAcentral
UACGUCCUACGGGAGAAAGCAGGGGACCUUCGGGCCUUGCGCUAUCAGAUGAGCCUAGGUCGGAUUAGCUAGUUGGUGGGGUAAUGGCUCACCAAGGCGACGAUCCGUAACUGGUCUGAGAGGAUGAUCAGUCACACUGGAACUGAGACACGGUCCAGACUCCUACGGGAGGCAGCAGUGGGGAAUAUUGGACAAUGGGCGAAAGCCUGAUCCAGCCAUGCCGCGUGUGUGAAGAAGGUCUUCGGAUUGUAAAGCACUUUAAGUUGGGAGGAAGGGCCAUUACCUAAUACGUGAUGGUUUUGACGUUACCGACAGAAUAAGCACCGGCUAACUCUGUGCCAGCAGCCGCGGUAAUACAGAGGGUGCAAGCGUUAAUCGGAAUUACUGGGCGUAAAGCGCGCGUAGGUGGUUCGUUAAGUUGGAUGUGAAAUCCCCGGGCUCAACCUGGGAACUGCAUUCAAAACUGUCGAGCUAGAGUAUGGUAGAGGGUGGUGGAAUUUCCUGUGUAGCGGUGAAAUGCGUAGAUAUAGGAAGGAACACCAGUGGCGAAGGCGACCACCUGGACUGAUACUGACACUGAGGUGCGAAAGCGUGGGGAGCAAACAGGAUUAGAUACC